GAUGAACGCUGGCGGCGUGCCUAAUACAUGCAAGUCGAGCGAACAGACGAGGAGCUUGCUCCUCUGACGUUAGCGGCGGACGGGUGAGUAACACGUGGAUAACCUACCUAUAAGACUGGGAUAACUUCGGGAGACCGGAGCUAAUACCGGAUAAUAUAUUGAACCGCAUGGUUCAAUAGUGAAAGACGGUUUUGCUGUCACUUAUAGAUGGAUCCGCGCCGCAUUAGCUAGUUGGUAAGGUAACGGCUUACCAAGGCAACGAUGCGUAGCCGACCUGAGAGGGUGAUCGGCCACACUGGAACUGAGACACGGUCCAGACUCCUACGGGAGGCAGCAGUAGGGAAUCUUCCGCAAUGGGCGAAAGCCUGACGGAGCAACGCCGCGUGAGUGAUGAAGGUCUUCGGAUCGUAAAACUCUGUUAUUAGGGAAGAACAAAUGUGUAAGUAACUAUGCACGUCUUGACGGUACCUAAUCAGAAAGCCACGGCUAACUACGUG
This 497-nucleotide ribosomal RNA is filed under the name uncultured bacterium. Its description in RNAcentral is "partial 16S ribosomal RNA". It matches the Rfam family "Bacterial small subunit ribosomal RNA", at positions 28 to 507 of the family's 1533-position model. The record is from RNAcentral.